GCCAGGUGUGGUGGUGCACAUCUGUAAUCCCAGCACUCAGGAGGCUGAGACAGGAGGAUCCCAAGUUCAAAGCCAGCCUCAGCAACUUAUCAAGGCUCUAAGCAUCUCAGUGAGAUCCUGUCUCUA
RNAcentral lists this small RNA (126 nucleotides) under Marmota monax (woodchuck). The record is from RNAcentral. Lineage: Eukaryota; Metazoa; Chordata; Mammalia; Rodentia; Sciuridae.